Quercus lobata is the source of this 180-nucleotide long non-coding RNA. RefSeq lists it as uncharacterized. The record is from RefSeq and is a predicted model, not a curated record. The transcript is spliced from 2 exons. Lineage: Eukaryota; Viridiplantae; Streptophyta; Magnoliopsida; Fagales; Fagaceae.
ACAAAAGUGUGAAUUCUGUUAGUAGAAUAGAAGAACAAGAAGUUGAUAGCUGUCGUCUAGUUGCUAUUCAGAGUUCUAAAGUGAACAGCAUUAAGAAAAAUCACAGAACAGGAAAGCAAGAGCUGAUGAAGUCAGUGCAAGAGCUUGCUUCUCAAGCAGCUUCUCGAGCCAAGGCUGAAG